This is a long non-coding RNA of Mytilus trossulus (common blue mussel), 746 nucleotides long. RefSeq lists it as uncharacterized. Lineage: Eukaryota; Metazoa; Mollusca; Bivalvia; Mytilida; Mytilidae. The transcript is spliced from 3 exons. The record is from RefSeq and is a predicted model, not a curated record.
UGGACAACAUGUCAGCUCCCAGUGAUGGACUUGGCAGACAAAGUUUACAGCGAAGUUUGCAACUUUAAUAAUCUAGGAGGAGUAUUUUGGGCUAUCCCAGCAUUAUGCAUCUUCAUAUUACAAACUAUUUAAGAUAUCUGAAUGCACUAAAGACCAAAUUAGCAUUUCCCAAAAGAAUAGUUACUGCCAAUGCAAGAAUCUGCCAAUCAUGACAAUAAAUUACCAGACAAUAAUCAUAACUUAGUGAAUAAACAUGAUGAAAACUAUGGUGUAGAAUUUCCAACAGGAGUCCUUGUUUUAUAUAAGACGAGGAGUGGUUUAUUUUCCUAUGGUUGUUAUAUCAUCUCGUCUUAGACAUGUUAGAAUAUGCUUGAAGUACAGGGACUUUCAUGGAAUUCAUUGACAUCAUAGUCAAGCAAGAUGUCAACAUCCCGUCCAACGUCUUCCAGCAAAGCCAAUUUGAAAGCUGACCAAGGAUCUUCAUCAUUUCGUGACAGGGUGUAUACAGGAUGAGUCAUUCCACUAGGAUCAGGACUAUUGUCAUGAUAAUAGAUGCAGGCAAUGCUGAUGAUUUUUGUGAAUGUGACAAUAAAUAGCCAGGUCAAACUAAAUACAUGUAAAGAACAAGAUACUGAUCUAGACUCACAGCUAACUGAACUUUUACAGCAGUCAACAUCAGAUUGGAAGACUGGUAAUGCCUCUGACAGAAACAAUUUCAACCAACCAAACAAGUAACAGAAACUUUG